GUGUCAGCCGCCGCGGUAAUACGUAGGGUGCGAGCGUUGUCCGGAAUUAUUGGGCGUAAAGAGCUCGUAGGCGGUUUGUCGCGUCGACUGUGAAAACCUGGGGCUUAACUCUGGGCCUGCAGUCGAUACGGGCAGACUUGAGUUCGGUAGGGGAGACUGGAAUUCCUGGUGUAGCGGUGAAAUGCGCAGAUAUCAGGAGGAACACCGGUGGCGAAGGCGGGUCUCUGGGCCGAUACUGACGCUGAGGAGCGAAAGCGUGGGGAGCGAACAGGAUUAGAUACCCUCGUAGUCC
RNAcentral lists this ribosomal RNA (292 nucleotides) under uncultured bacterium. Its description in RNAcentral is "partial 16S ribosomal RNA". It matches the Rfam family "Bacterial small subunit ribosomal RNA", at positions 505 to 796 of the family's 1533-position model. The record is from RNAcentral.